UGAUACUGCUGAGUUUUAAUGUGUUCCAGUCUUUGAGAACAUUUACAGUAAAUAAACACAUCAAAGUCAUAUUUCAGUUUAAAGUUCCCAUAUUGGUACUUCAAAACAAAAAACAAAGGCUAGCGUAGAAUAUAUUCAUAAAGUUGCAUACAUGGUAGAUACAGUAACCUAAUUGUUCAUGUCUAUUUUUCCUUAAUAAACAAUUUCAUACAAAUCAAAAAUUAAAAUCUACUGAAUGUUUGUAUGUAAAAACAAACAACAACAAAAUAUCAACCAACAAAUAUUAUGUCAUUUGUUGGUGUAAAAAAGAUAUGUUUUUAAAAUGGUUGCUGUUAAUGGCAUGGAUUAGAAAAUGGAAUGUCACAAGCGCUGCUGGAAAUAGGAAAAACUUAAUGUAUGUCUUUUAUGUGAGUGUGUAUAUAUAUAUAUAAAUAUAA
Biomphalaria pfeifferi is the source of this 437-nucleotide non-coding RNA. The record is from the annotation of a GenBank genome assembly. NCBI's taxonomy places the organism in Eukaryota, Metazoa, Mollusca, Gastropoda, Planorbidae.